AAAAAUGAUCUGAGAUAAAAUAUGGCUGCUAACUAUAUUUUAAGUGGUUUAAUUCCAUUUUGUUUUUU
This 68-nucleotide transfer RNA is filed under the name Callochiton steinenii. RNAcentral's name for it is "tRNA-Ser". The record is from RNAcentral. Lineage: Eukaryota; Metazoa; Mollusca; Polyplacophora; Chitonida; Callochitonidae.